CGCGGAUCGUUCGAUAUGAUGAUAUCGGUUAUCAGGAAAAUUCCGGAUCGAUCGCUGGAUCGCUAGAUGCCAACACUAGGAAUACCACAGCAGUCAAAAUGACUGGUUCUACAAUUUUAUAAAUGUGUCAACCCUCGUUUAGGGAUCCCAGAUGGAUUAAUAAUACCAAAAAU
This is a long non-coding RNA of Bombus impatiens (common eastern bumble bee), 173 nucleotides long. RefSeq lists it as uncharacterized. The transcript has 3 exons. NCBI's taxonomy places the organism in Eukaryota, Metazoa, Arthropoda, Insecta, Hymenoptera, Apidae. The record is from RefSeq and is a predicted model, not a curated record.